AGCAGCCGCGGUAAUUCCAGCUCCAAUAGCGUAUAUUAAAGUUGUUGCAGUUAAAAGGCUCGUAGUUGAAUUUUGGGUCUGGCCGGGCGGUCCGCCCUCUGGGUGAGCACUGUUCCGACGCCGGGCCUAUCCUUCUGGUGAGUCGGCAUGUCCUUUAUUGGGUGUGCCGGGGAACCAGGACCAUUACCUUGAAAAAAAUUAGAGUGUUCAAAGCAGGCGUAUGCUCGGAUACAUUAGCAUGGAAUAAUGAAAUAGGACGCGUGGUGCUAUUUUGUUGGUUUCUAGAACCGCCGUAAUGAUUAAUAGGGAUAGUUGGGGGCAUUAGUAUUCAAUUGUCAGAGGUGAAAUUCUUGGAUUUAUUGAAGACUAACUUCUGCGAAAGCAUUUGCCAAGGAUGUUUUCAUUAAUCAAGAACGAAAGUUAGGGGAUCGAAGACGAUCAGAUACCGUCGUAGUCUUAACCAUAAACUAUGCCGACUAGGAAUCGGGCGAUGUUAUUCUCAUGACUCGCCCGGCGCCUU
RNAcentral lists this unclassified non-coding RNA (520 nucleotides) under uncultured Archaeospora. RNAcentral describes it as "SSU rRNA". It matches the Rfam family "Eukaryotic small subunit ribosomal RNA", at positions 569 to 1089 of the family's 1831-position model. Lineage: Eukaryota; Fungi; Glomeromycota; Glomeromycetes; Archaeosporales; Archaeosporaceae. The record is from RNAcentral. RNAcentral also lists the same sequence under 1 other name.